GAUGAACGCUGGCGGCGUGCUUAACACAUGCAAGUCGAACGAAGAUGCCGGAGUGCUUGCACUUUGGCAGACUGAGUGGCGGACGGGUGAGUAACGCGUGGGUAACCUGCCUUAUACAGGGGGAUAACAGUUGGAAACGACUGCUAAUACCGCAUAAGCGCACGGUAUCGCAUGAUACAGUGUGAAAAACUCCGGUGGUAUAAGAUGGACCCGCGUCUGAUUAGCUUGUUGGUGAGGUAACGGCCCACCAAGGCGACGAUCAGUAGCCGGCCUGAGAGGGUGAACGGCCACAUUGGGACUGAGACACGGCCCAAACUCCUACGGGAGGCAGCAGUGGGGAAUAUUGCACAAUGGGGGAAACCCUGAUGCAGCGACGCCGCGUGAGUGAUGAAGUAUUUCCGGUAUGUAAAACUCUAUCAGCAGGGAAGAUAAAUCGAACGGUACCUGACUAAGAAGCACCGGCUUAAAANACGUGCCAGCAG
RNAcentral lists this ribosomal RNA (482 nucleotides) under uncultured bacterium. RNAcentral describes it as "bacterial SSU rRNA". It matches the Rfam family "Bacterial small subunit ribosomal RNA", at positions 28 to 514 of the family's 1533-position model. The record is from RNAcentral.